RNAcentral lists this long non-coding RNA (340 nucleotides) under Setaria viridis. RNAcentral describes it as "long non-coding RNA (SVIR_LNC008552)". Lineage: Eukaryota; Viridiplantae; Streptophyta; Magnoliopsida; Poales; Poaceae. The record is from RNAcentral.
CCAUAUCAUUCUGCGAGAAUCGAGCUCUGCCCAGCUGCAUCAUCUGACACCUCAAGGAAGGGCCAAGUCUUCACAGAAAUGCUCAACAACUGCUUAGAUCAGAUCCGUGCGCCGUCAUCCGACACCCGGAUAUUCAUGCGCUGUGAUGUGAAUUUCGACCAGUCCAACCAAGGUCGAAGCCUAAACACCAUGAUUGGCAGAGCAGCCCACAUCGAGUUCCUGGAGACUGACCUCUACGCCAAGUUCAUCAUGUGGUCCUUCCCUGAUCUGUUCCGAUGAUGACUGCUGCUCAUCUCUGUGAUACUGCCACAUACCAAACCAAUAGUGCACACUACUGAGU